Molecule: ribosomal RNA, 292 nt
Filed under: uncultured bacterium
Lineage: Bacteria
Description: partial 16S ribosomal RNA
Rfam family: Bacterial small subunit ribosomal RNA
Source: RNAcentral
GUGUCAGCAGCCGCGGUAAGACGAACCGUCCGAACGUUAUUCGGAAUCACUGGGCUUAAAGGGUGUGUAGGCGGCCAGCUAAGUAGGGUGUGAAAGGCCUCGGCUCAACCGAGGCAUUGCGCUCUAAACUGACUGGCUUGAGUGAGAUAGGGGUGUGCGGAACUUCCAGUGGAGCGGUGAAAUGUGUUGAUAUUGGAAGGAACGCCGGUGGCGAAAGCGAGCUGCUGGACCUCUUCUGACGCUGAGGCGCGAAAGCUGGGGGAGCAAACGGGAUUAGAUACCCCGGUAGUCC